CAGGAGUAUUGAUCAUGGAUCACGAUGAACGCUAGUUUUCAGGCCUAAUACAUGCAAGUCGUAACGGGGAUUGACCUUCAGCAGCUUGCUCUGGGGGUAUGAGAGUGGCGAACGGGUGCGAUAACGCGUAUGCAACCUGCCCAUGACAGGGGGAUAGCCCGGAGAAAUCCGGAUUAACACCGCAUGACUAGCUACAGUAUGGCAUCAUACAGUAGUCAAAUCUGAGGAGGAUCCAUGGUAUGGGCAUGCGUGCCAUUAGCUAGUUGGCGGGGUAACGGCCCACCAAGGCGAACGAUGGCUAGGGGAUCUGAGAGGAUUGCCCCCCACACUGGUACUGAGACACGGUACCAGACUCCUACGGGAGGCAGCGGCUAAGGAAUAUUGGUCAAUGGAGGGAACUCUGAACCAGCCAUGCCGCGUGCAGGACAGACUGCCCUAUGGGUUGAUAAACUGCUUUUGUUAGGGAAUAAACCUUUCUACGAGUAGAGAGCUGAAUGUACCUAAAGAAUAAGGAUCGGUUAACUCCGUGCCAGCACAGCCGCGGUAAUACGGAGGUAUCCGAGCGUUAUCCGGAUUUAUUGGGUUUAAAGGGAGCGUAGGCGGCCUAUUAAGUCAGUGGUGAAAGACGGCAGCUCAACUGUCGCAGUGCCAUUGAUACUGAUGGGCUAGAAUAUAGCUGAGGUAGGCGGAAUGUGACAAGUAGCGGUGAAAUGCAUAGAUAUGUCACAGAACACCGAUUGCGAAGGCAGCUUGCUAAACUAUAAUUGACGCUGAGGCUCGAAAGCGUGGGUAUCGAACAGGAUUAGAUACCCUGGUAGUCCACGCCCUAAACGAUGAUGACUCGAUGUUAGCGAUAUACCGUUAGCGUCCAAGCGAAAGCGUUAAGUCAUCCACCUGGGGAGUACGUCCGCAAGGGUGAAACUCAAAGGAAAUUGACGGGGGCCCGCACAAGCGGAGGAGCAUGUGGUUUAAUUCGAUGAUACGCGAGGAACCUUACCCGGGCUUGAAAGUUACUGAAGAACGCAGAGACGCGUUCGUCCUUCGGGACAGGAAACUAGGUGCUGCAUGGCUGUCGUCAGCUCGUGCCGUGAGGUGUUGGGUUAAGUCCCCGCAACGAGCGCAACCCCUAUGUUUAGUUUGCCAGCAUGUAGUGGGUGGGGGACUCUAAAACAGACUGCCCCCCGCCAAGCCGGGAAAAGGAAAGGAUGGGGACGACCUCCAAGUCAUCAUUGGCCCUUUACGUCCCGGGGGCUACCACACCGUGUGCUACCAAUUGGCCCGGGACAAGAAGGGCCCCUACCCCAGCGGAUUGGGAUUGCCCAAUCCUUCAAAAAGGCCGGGUCACCGUUU
This 1350-nucleotide ribosomal RNA is filed under the name uncultured bacterium. Its description in RNAcentral is "bacterial SSU rRNA". It matches the Rfam family "Bacterial small subunit ribosomal RNA", at positions 1 to 1294 of the family's 1533-position model. The record is from RNAcentral.